CUGUGAUGCCCUUAGAUGUCCUGGGCCGCACGCGCGCUACACUGAUACGUGCAACAAGUUCUAUCCUGGGCCGGAAGGUCUCGGGUAAUCUUGAUAAUGCGUAUCGUGAUAGGGAUAGAUCUUUGGAAUUAUAGAUCUUGAACGAGGAAUUCCUAGUAAGCAUAAGUCAUCAGCUUGUGCUGAUUACGUCCCUGCCCUUU
This 200-nucleotide ribosomal RNA is filed under the name uncultured organism. RNAcentral describes it as "partial small subunit ribosomal RNA". It matches the Rfam family "Eukaryotic small subunit ribosomal RNA", at positions 1462 to 1661 of the family's 1831-position model. The record is from RNAcentral.